RNAcentral lists this ribosomal RNA (500 nucleotides) under uncultured bacterium. Its description in RNAcentral is "partial 16S ribosomal RNA". It matches the Rfam family "Bacterial small subunit ribosomal RNA", at positions 30 to 523 of the family's 1533-position model. The record is from RNAcentral.
AUUGAACGCUGGCGGCAUGCCUUACACAUGCAAGUCGAACGGCAGCACGGGAGCAAUCCUGGUGGCGAGUGGCGAACGGGUGAGUAAAGUAUCGGAACGUGCCCAGUCGUGGGGGAUAACGUAGCGAAAGUUACGCUAAUACCGCAUACGCACUGAGGUGGAAAGCAGGGGACCUUCGGGCCUUGUGCUAUUGGAGCGGCCGAUGUCAGAUUAGCUAGUUGGUGGGGUAAAAGCUCACCAAGGCGACGAUCUGUAGCUGGUCUGAGAGGAUGAUCAGCCACACUGGGACUGAGACACGGCCCAGACUCCUACGGGAGGCAGCAGUGGGGAAUUUUGGACAAUGGGGGCAACCCUGAUCCAGCCAUGCCGCGUGAGUGAAGAAGGCCUUCGGGUUGUAAAGCUCUUUCGGCCGGGAAGAAAUCGCCAUCUCUAAUAUAGGUGGUGGAUGACGGUACCGGAAUAAGAAGCACCGGCUAACUACGUGCCAGCCGCCGCGGUAA